UACAGAGGUCUCAAGCGUUGUUCGGAUUCACUGGGCGUAAAGGGUGCGUAGGUGGUGGGGAAAGUUCGAUGUGAAAGCUCCGAGCUUAACUCGGAAAUGGCAUUGAAAACUACCCUGCUUGAGGGUUGGAGGGGGGACUGGAAUUCUCGGUGUAGCAGUGAAAUGCGUAGAUAUCGAGAGGAACACCAGUGGCGAAGGCGAGUCCCUGGACAACUCCUGACACUGAGGCACGAAAGCUAGGGGAGCAAACAGG
RNAcentral lists this ribosomal RNA (253 nucleotides) under uncultured bacterium. RNAcentral describes it as "partial 16S ribosomal RNA". It matches the Rfam family "Bacterial small subunit ribosomal RNA", at positions 524 to 776 of the family's 1533-position model. The record is from RNAcentral.